RNAcentral lists this ribosomal RNA (253 nucleotides) under uncultured bacterium. RNAcentral's name for it is "partial 16S ribosomal RNA". It matches the Rfam family "Bacterial small subunit ribosomal RNA", at positions 524 to 776 of the family's 1533-position model. The record is from RNAcentral.
UACGUAGGUGGCAAGCGUUAUCCGGAUUUAUUGGGCGUAAAGGGAACGCAGGCGGUCUUUUAAGUCUGAUGUGAAAGCCUUCGGCUUAACCGGAGUAGUGCAUUGGAAACUGGGAGACUUGAGUGCAGAAGAGGAGAGUGGAACUCCAUGUGUAGCGGUGAAAUGCGUAGAUAUAUGGAAGAACACCAGUGGCGAAAGCGGCUCUCUGGUCUGUAACUGACGCUGAGGUUCGAAGGCGUGGGUAGCAAACAGG